AUGUAUUAGGCAUUUUGCUGCAAAGAAAAUGAAAUAAAGAUGUUUUAUUAUGUACAUUAGUUAAUGAGGCACAGGAAAGGAAUGUUAAGAAAAGCAGGAAUGUUUAUCUAGUUCAUGGUCCAUGAUAACCACAGAUUGCUGCAUUUGUAGCCACAUGAGUCAUUCAAAAGUGAUAUGAACAUGCAUACAUAACAAUUCUUCUGCUUUUAAUGAAACAUAAGAAACUGUCAAGCUUUGGAAAUUAGAAACAAACAUAUUCAAUGCUUUUUGAAAAAUCAGGCCUUAUUUAAAAAGAAAAAUGUUCUAUCAUCAAAUGUAUUAUGCAUUUAUUUUUUAUCAUUUGAAAUAAUAGCUUAUAAAUAACAUUGGUCCAGAACUAAUAAAUGAAUUUUUACAAGAGCUCUCUCUCCCUUAAAUAGGUUUAAAUUUGCUUUUCAAAAUAAACAGCAAAUUUCCUGGAUGUAAGGAAGAGAAAGGAGUUUCCAGAAUUAAAAUCCAAUUGCUUUUCUGUUCUAUUUUCUUUCUUUUUUUUUUUCAGUAAGAACACAAGGUGAGAUCUAUCUUAACAAAUUGUUCAGUGUACACUGCAGUAUUGUUGACUAUAGGUGCAAUAUUGUACCACAAAUCUCUAGAGCUUAUUCACCUGACUUCACUGAAACUUUAUGCCUAUUGAUUAGUAACUCCCCACUCCCCUCAGCCCCUGGCCACCAUCAUUUCACUCUUUGGUUCUAUGAAGUUGACUAUUUUAAAUAUCCCACAUAAAUUGAAUCCUGCCAUAUUAGUCUUUCUGUUAAUAGUUUAUUUCACUUAGCGUAAUGUCCUUAAGAUUUAUCCAUGUUGUUGAAUAAUUGCAGAAUUUCCUUCUUUUUAAAAGCUAAAUAGUAUUCCAUUGUAUGUGUAUAUACAUUUUCUUUAUUCAUUUCUCCGCCGAUGGACGCUUAGAUUGUUUGUGUAUCUUGGAUAUUGUGAAUAAUGCGGCAAUGAACCUGCAAAUGCUAAUACCUCUUUGGGAUCCUGAUUUCAAUUUUUUUGGAUAAAUAUCCAGAAAUAGGGUUGCUAGGUCACAUGGCAGUUCUAUUUUUACAUUUUUUAGGAACACCCAUACUGUUUUCCUUAGUGGCUGCACCAUUUUGCAUUCCCAUCAACAGUAUGCAAGGGUUCCAAUUUGUCCACUUCUUCACCAAUAUUUGUUGUGUUUUGGUUCUUCAAUGAUAGCCAUCCUGACAGGUGAGAGUUGAUAUCUCACGGUGGUUUUGAUUUGCAUUGCCCUGAUGAUCAGUGAUGAUGAGCACCUUUUAUCCUCUGGGAGCCUCCCAUUUCCUCUCAUUGAUGAGAAUUUGCCCAUGAGAGGUUAAUAUCCCUAUACUCUCGCAAUGUGUCAACUAGCUUCUUUCAUUGCUGUUCAAGAUGCCAGAGCCCAUGCUAUUCAGAUCCUUGGCCCAUUUGUAAAAAUUGGGUUUUUUUUUUUUUGCUAUUGAGUUAUGAAUUCCUUACAUAUUUUAGAUGUCAACCCUUAUCACAUACAUCGCUUGCAAAUACUUUCUCCCAUUUCAUAGGUUUUCUUUUCACUCUGUUGAUUGUUGCCUUUGCUGUGAGAAGCUUUGUGAUUUGAUGUAACUUUGCUUAUUUUUGUUUUUGUUGCCUGUGUUUUGGGGGUCAUAUCCAUGAAAUCAUUGACAAGACCAAUGUCAAAGAGCUUUUCGCCUAUGUUUUCUUCUAGGAGUUUUACAGCUUCAGAUUUUAUGUUUAAAUCUUUAAUCCAUUUUGAGUUGGGUUUUGUAUGUGAUGUAAGAUAAAAGUCCAGUUUCCCCCUUUUGCACAUGGAUAUCUGAUUUUCUCAAUACCAUGUGUUGAAGAGACUAUCCUUUCCCCAUUAUGUAUUCUUGGCACCAUUGUUGAAGAUCAGUUGACAAUAUACAUGUGAAUCUAUUUCUGGACUCUCUAUUCUGUUCCAUUCACAUAUAUGUCUAUCUGUUGGCCAGUAACAUACUGUUUUGAUUACUGUAGUUUUGUUAUACAUUCUGAAAUCAAGCAAUGUGAUGCCUCUAUCUUUGUUCUUCUUUCUCAAGAUUGAUAUGGCUAUUCAUGGUCUUUUGUGGUUUCAUAUGGACUGUAGAAUUGUUUUGUCCCUGUCUUCAGAUGACAUCGUCUCAUAUAUAGAACGCCCUAAGACUCCAUUUUUUAAACAUGUUAGAAUAAAGGAAUUCAAUAAAGUUGCAUAAUACAAAAUCAACAUACAAAAAUCAGUUGCGAUUUCUAUACAUUAACACAGAACUAUCUAAAAAGGAAAUUAGCGAAACAAUCCCAUAUAUAAUAGCACCCAAAAUAAUAAAAUACUUGGGAAUAAACUUAACUAAGGAGGUGAAAGACUUGUAUACUGAAAACUACAAAAUACUGAUGAAAUAAAUUAAAGAAGACACAAACAAAUGGAAAGACAUUUCAUUCCUGGGCUGUAAGACUUAAUAUUGCUAUUCUCCUUUUAUAGAAAAAUAAACAAACUCAAGUAUGCAGAGUUAAGUUAAUCAUAAUCUUUGAUUCAUUAUACAUCAUCAUCAGUCCACACAUAUCCCUCUUUUAUUUCAUUUCAUUUUGAAAAUAAUAAAAGGAACACCCCAUGUACCCAUUAUCCUAACCAAGAACUAGAAUAUUACUCAUCAGUCACAAAUCUUGUAUGCUUCCCCACAUUUUCUCAGCACCACCUACGUCUUAGACCUCAGCCAUUUGCCUUGCCUUAGCCCCAGCCUGUGCCUGACCAACUCACCUAGGCUACCAAGUUCCCUUCUAGGCUGAUUAGAGUUGGUUAUCCCCUUGACUGUCAACUCUGCAGCUGGGCCAACCAUACACACCCAGAGUUCCUAGUUCCUCCUGCCCUUUAUGGACUCUGACAAAAGGCCACACUGCAGGGCAUAGGCUUGGCAUCUUGAACAGCAACAAAAGAAGGUAACACAUUGUGAAAGUAUAGGGACAUUAACUUCUCAUGGAAAAAUUCUCACUAUUAGGAGACAGGAAAUGGGAGGCUCCCAGAGGAUAAAUUUCUUCUUCCCUUCCUCUCGUCUCUGGACUAUACCUUACAGCUUUCCAGAGAAGUUUCACUGAGUGGGACACAAUUGCCUAGUGCCCCGUUGUGUCUCUGUUUGGCUCAUUUUGAAGUGAUAGUCAGCAAGGCUGUGCAUCAUUUUGUGUAUUAGUUUGUUGGGGCUGCCAUAACAAAAUACCACAGACUGGGUAGCUUAAACAACAGAAAUGUGUCUUCUCACAGCUCUGCAGGUGGAAGACUGAUCAAGGUGUCAGCAGCACUGGUUUCUUCUGAGGCUUUUUUUUUUUUUUUUUUUUGAGAUGGAG
RNAcentral lists this long non-coding RNA (3342 nucleotides) under Homo sapiens (human). RNAcentral's name for it is "HSALNT0115417". The record is from RNAcentral. Lineage: Eukaryota; Metazoa; Chordata; Mammalia; Primates; Hominidae.